Molecule: ribosomal RNA, 1369 nt
Filed under: Bacillus cereus
Lineage: Bacteria; Bacillati; Bacillota; Bacilli; Caryophanales; Bacillaceae
Description: bacterial SSU rRNA
Rfam family: Bacterial small subunit ribosomal RNA
Source: RNAcentral
CUACACAUGGCAAGUCGAGCGCGGAAGCACUGAAGAACUUUCUCUUCUGGAGUUAGCGGGGGAGGGGUGAGUAAUAUGUGUGUGACCGGCCCAUGGGACGGGGAUAACUCCGGGAAAGCUGGGCCAAAACCCGAAAACACUCUAAACCGGAGGGGUCGAAAUUCAAAGGCCUCUCCGGCUGUCAUUUAUCGAUGGACCCACUUUCGCAUUAGCGUGGUGGAGACGCUACCGGCGCACCUACGGCAACUAUGCUUAGACAACCUGACAGGCGCAUCGGACACACAGACACUGCACAAGCGCCCAGACGCCUACGGGAGGCAGCAUUAUGGAAUCUUCCCCAAUGCACGACAGUCUGACCGAGCGACGCCGCAUGAGUGAUUAAGGCUUUCGGGUCGUAAAACUCUGUUGUUAGGGAAUAACAAGUGCUCGUUGAAUAAGCUGGCACCUUGACAGAACCUAACCAGAAUGCCUCGGAGAACUACGUGCCAGCAACCGCGGUAGUACGUAUGUGACAAGCAUUAUCCGGAAUUAUUGCGCGUAAAGCGCGCGCAGGUAGUUUCUUAAGUCUGACGUGAAAUCCCACGGCUCACCCGUGGAGGGUCAUUGGAAACUGGGAGACUUGAGUGCAAAAGAAGACCGUGGAAUUCCAUGUGUAGCGGUAAAAUGCGUAGAGAUAUGGAGGAACACCAGUGGCGAAGGCGACUUACUGGUCUGUAACUGACACUGAGGCGCGAAAGCAUGGGGAACACACGGGAUUAGAUACCCUGGUAGUCCACGCCGUAAACGAUGAGUGCUAGCUGUUAGAGGGUUUCCGCCCGUUACUGCUGAAGUUAACGCGUCAGGCAGUCCGCCCGGGGAGUACGCCCCCAAGGGUAAUACUCAGAGGACUUGACAGGGGCCCGCACAAUCGGUGGAGCAUGUGGCUUCAAUCGAAACAACGCCAGGACCCUUACCAGGGCUUGACAUCCUCAGAAAGGCCGUUGCAUUGGGCGUCUCCUUCGAGAAGAGAGUCACGGGUUGUCCUUUGUUCCGGUCAUAGUGUGUUUGGAUAACUUUCGUAUAAGUCUCAGAACGGGCGCAACCGUUACCCUUGUGUUCCGUCGGUAAGGUGGGGAACUUAAAGGAGACGGCCGGUGACAAACGGGAGGAAGGUGGGGAUGACGUCAAGUCAUCAUGGCCCUUAUGCCUAGGGCUUCACACGUCAUACAUGGUCGGUACAAAGGGUUGCAAACCCGCGAGGGGAGCUAAUCUCAAAAACCGUUUGUAUUCGGGUUGGCGGUUUGAAAUUGGAUUGCUGGAGGUGGGAAUGGUUGGAAUUGGGGGUUCAGAAUGUCGCCGGUGAAUACGUUCCCGGGCUUGUACACACUUA